This 496-nucleotide small RNA is filed under the name Pan troglodytes (chimpanzee). RNAcentral describes it as "processed transcript". The record is from RNAcentral. Lineage: Eukaryota; Metazoa; Chordata; Mammalia; Primates; Hominidae.
CGCACCGCACGCAGCCGAGCAGCGCCACAGCCGCCGCCGCCGUCGCAGCCGCAGUCGCCGCAGCUAGGCCCUCGGCCGUCGCAGGGAGCUCCGCAGCGACGUGGACCAAGGUGUAUGUGGAAUUUGAUGAUCUUGAAUGGGAUAAACGAGAGUGGGUUAAAGUUUAUGAAGAUUUUUCAACUUUCUUGGUGGAAUACCACUUAAUCUGGGCCAAAAGGAAUGACCCUAGCCAGACUCAGGGAUCAAAGAGCAAACAGAUUCAGUGGCCUGCAUUGACUUUCAAACCUCUGGUUGAAAGAAAUAUACCCAGUUCAGUCACUGCAGUAGAAUUCCUUGUAGAUAAGCAACUGGAUUUUUUAACUGAAGAUAGUGCCUUUCAGCCCUACCAGGACGACAUAGACAGCCUAAACCCAGUUCUCAGGGACAACCCGCAGCUUCAUGAGGAAGUGAAAGUCUGGGUAAAGGAACAAAAGGUUCAGGAGAUUUUUAUGCAAGG